This 40-nucleotide non-coding RNA is filed under the name Plasmodium falciparum 3D7. Lineage: Eukaryota; Apicomplexa; Aconoidasida; Haemosporida; Plasmodiidae. The record is from RNAcentral.
CUCCUUUUCCUCUUUCUCCUCGACGACGUCACUGCCGCCG